GCCCCGUUAGCUCAGUGGUAGAGCAUUAGGCUUUUAACCUAAGGGUCGUGGGUUCGAUACCCCCACGGGGCG
Molecule: transfer RNA, 72 nt
Organism: Ordospora colligata OC4
Lineage: Eukaryota; Fungi; Microsporidia; Ordosporidae
Rfam family: tRNA
About the family: Transfer RNA (tRNA) molecules are approximately 80 nucleotides in length. Their secondary structure includes four short double-helical elements and three loops (D, anti-codon, and T loops).
Source: Rfam